Molecule: ribosomal RNA, 688 nt
Filed under: uncultured Microbacteriaceae bacterium
Lineage: Bacteria; Bacillati; Actinomycetota; Actinomycetes; Micrococcales; Microbacteriaceae
Description: bacterial SSU rRNA
Rfam family: Bacterial small subunit ribosomal RNA
Source: RNAcentral
GUGGCGAACGGGUGAGUAACACGUGAGCAAUCUGCCCUUGACUCUGGGAUAACUGCGGGAAACUGUAGCUAAUACCGGAUACUUUCCUCGCUGGGCAUCCAGCGGGGAAGAAAGAAUUUCGGUCAAGGAUGAGCUCGCGGCCUAUCAGCUAGUUGGUGAGGUAAUGGCUCACCAAGGCGACGACGGGUAGCCGGCCUGAGAGGGCGACCGGCCACACUGGAACUGAGACACGGUCCAGACUCCUACGGGAGGCAGCAGUGGGGAAUAUUGCACAAUGGGCGAAAGCCUGAUGCAGCAACGCCGCGUGAGGGAUGAAGGCCUUCGGGUUGUAAACCUCUUUUAGCAGGGAAGAAGCGAAAGUGACGGUACCUGCAGAAAAAGCACCGGCUAACUACGUGCCAGCAGCCGCGGUAAUACGUAGGGUGCAAGCGUUGUCCGGAAUUAUUGGGCGUAAAGAGCUCGUAGGCGGUUUGUCACGUCUGCUGUGAAAAUCCGAGGCUCAACCUCGGACUUGCAGUGGGUACGGGCAGGCUAGAGUGCGGUAGGGGAGAAGGGAAUUCCUGGUGUAGCGGUGGAAUGCGCAGAUAUCAGGAGGAACACCAAUGGCGAAGGCACUUCUCUGGGCCGUAACUGACGCUGAGGAGCGAAAGCGUGGGGAGCGAACAGGACUAGAUACCCUGUAGUCCAC